GGAAUUGUUCACAAUGGGCGCAAGCCUGAUGACGCAACGCCGCGUGGAGGAUGACGGUCUUCGGAUUGUAAACUCCUGUUGCUCGGGACGAAAAGCUACGACCUAAUACGUCGGAGUCCGACGGUACCGAGUGAGGAAGCGCCGGCUAACUCCGUGCCAGCAGCCGCGGUAAUACAGAGGGGGCAAGCGUUGUUCGGAAUUACUGGGCGUAAAGGGCGCGUAGGCGGCCUGUUAAGUCGAACGAGAAAUCCCCGGGCUCAACCCGGGAACUGCGUCCGAUACUGGCAGGCUUGAAUUCGGGAGAGGGAUGCGGAAUUCCAGGUGUAGCGGUGAAAUGCGUAGAUAUCUGGAGGAACACCGGUGGCGAAGGCGGCAUCCUGGACCGAGAUUGACGCUGAGGCGCGAAAGCCAGGGGAGCAA
Molecule: ribosomal RNA, 420 nt
Filed under: uncultured bacterium
Lineage: Bacteria
Description: bacterial SSU rRNA
Rfam family: Bacterial small subunit ribosomal RNA
Source: RNAcentral